Molecule: long non-coding RNA, 712 nt
Organism: Rhododendron vialii
Lineage: Eukaryota; Viridiplantae; Streptophyta; Magnoliopsida; Ericales; Ericaceae
Exons: 2
Source: RefSeq, a predicted model, not a curated record
CAUUCCCAAAAUCCAAACACAAUACAUAUCACCACUAUUACAAAGAUCUAAGUGGUUUAGCUAUAACUUGUAUACUCGAGCCGAAAAUGGACUGUAGGUAGAAAAUAUGUAUUCUUCUCAUGGUUCCUUGUAUACAGACCAUCAUCAACAUAUUUCAAAUAACUCCUAUUAAUUUUCAGUUCUUAUACGUCGUGAUAAAGCUCCCACAACCUAAGUCCAAAUUGAUGUCGAACUAACGAAAUAUGAAUUUGAACUACUAACUGUAUGAAAAAGAUAUGGUACACAUAAUAUUACCAUAGAAAUGGUAAGUAUCAUUUUUUGUCUUCUAUGUUACACAUGUUUUUUUGAUAGUUAUGCAUGAGUGUAUCCACCAUCCACAAAAAAUAAAAUAAUAUAUACUUAUGGUUAAAAUUGAGAAGAAUCAUAAUAAUAAGACUCACAAGAGAUAUCAAAUGAUUGCACUCUUGGUCUGUCAGAAAACCCUCGUACACAAAAGCUCUGCAAAACCAUCCAAUUGAACUGAGUUAGUUAGUGGGAAUUGGUUGUUAAAAUCCUACGAUAUGGGAUACAUGUGCUACGAUUCGUAUCGUUUCCUUCCAAAAACAAUAUGCAUCUCAUCCCGUAUCCUUGUAUAAAAAUCAUUCGAUACCAUGACGUAUCCUACGAUAUAUUAGCGUAUCCUGAUUCGGUAUGUACCUUACUAUUACUUUUU